UCUUUCAGCUUGAACUGUUAACCAAUGGUGGAAAUGCAAGAAUGCUGAAGUUGUGCCUUCAGAGCCAAUAGAGUGGAUUUGUGUGUCCCACAUGACUGUGUUUCCCCUGUCUUUCACAUGGGCAGUAUUUAGUUCAAUUCAGAACUGCAGAUAGUAUAGCGUGCAGAGCAGCAAUGGGAUGUCUGAGCACAAGUGGCUGACUUCCAGGCGACUUCAGGAAGCACAUUUAUACAUUUCUCCUGAAUUAAACUGGGAUUCUGCACCCUUGACAUUCUCCAGCCCUCCUUGUCGAUGCAGAAGGAGACAACGACCUGCACAGCACAACAAAACUACAAAUCACCACAGAGCUGCAGACCAGCAAUGAAGGGAGCUGAGGGCAAUUUGACCAACAUCAUCUGUGUCGGUUCCCCAGAUGUCAAUGAAACACGUAAUCGGGUCUCCAAGACCACAAGCCUCAGAAGAUCACUGUGGAAGAAACGCACUGGGCCAACCCAUCCUGUUGAUAUGA
This is a non-coding RNA of Pseudopodoces humilis (Tibetan ground-tit), 508 nucleotides long. Lineage: Eukaryota; Metazoa; Chordata; Aves; Passeriformes; Paridae. The record is from RefSeq and is a predicted model, not a curated record.